Molecule: unclassified non-coding RNA, 263 nt
Filed under: plant metagenome
Description: partial contains small subunit ribosomal RNA, internal transcribed spacer 1, and 5.8S ribosomal RNA
Source: RNAcentral
UUUCCGUAGGUGAACCUGCGGAAGGAUCAUUAUUGUAUAACCGAGGUGCGAGGGCUGUCGCUGACCCGAAAGGUCGUGCACGCCCGAGUGCUCUCACACACAUCCAUCUCACCCCUAUGUGCACCACCGCGUGGGUCCCCCUUUGGCUUGUUCGGAGGGGGGCUUACGUUUUCACACAAACUUUGUAUGCAGUGUAGAAUGUGUUUUUUGUUUUUGCGAUCACGCAAUCAAUACAACUUUCAACAACGGAUCUCUUGGCUCUC